Molecule: ribosomal RNA, 429 nt
Filed under: uncultured bacterium
Lineage: Bacteria
Description: bacterial SSU rRNA
Rfam family: Bacterial small subunit ribosomal RNA
Source: RNAcentral
UGGGGAAUAUUGGACAAUGGGCGCAAGCCUGAUCCAGCAAUGCCGCGUGUGUGAAGAAGGCCUGCGGGUUGUAAAGCACUUUAAGCAGGGAGGAAGGCUCUAAGGCGAAUACCCUUGGAGAUUGACGUUACCUGCAGAAUAAGCACCGGCUAACUCCGUGCCAGCAGCCGCGGUAAUACGGAGGGUGCGAGCGUUAAUCGGAAUUACUGGGCGUAAAGCGCGCGUAGGCGGUUGACUAAGUUUGCUGUGAAAGCCCCGGGCUUAACCUGGGAACUGCAGUGAAUACUGGUGAGCUAGAGUAUGGUAGAGGGUAGUGGAAUUUCCGGUGUAGCAGUGAAAUGCGUAGAGAUCGGAAGGAACACCAGUGGCGAAGGCGGCUAUCUGGACCAAUACUGACGCUGAGGUGCGAAAGCGUGGGGAGCAAACAGG